GUGACAGUGGUAACGUUAGAGUUAAAAAUGCAAUCCCUCAUGGCGGAACAGUACAUGGAACAUCCUGGGCAAGUCUGGCAGGAUCUUUGAGAAAAAAAAAAUCAUCUUUCCCCUCACCUCCCAAUUAUUAAUGUGUUCAUUGUAGGUAAUUAUAGAAAUUUAGAAAACAUAGAUGAGUAUAAGGAAGAAAGGACAGAUACAACACUUGUAAGGUUUGAGGUAUUUCAGUAUUUUUUUCUAUGUACAUUAUAUACAUAUAGUCAAUUUUCACCAUUUGCAUUAUGCUCUGUAAAAGGUCUCUGCACUAAGUUAGAAAAUACUGAACCACUGGUCCUAGGGAAAUAUAGGAUUAGGUUCCUGCAAGCCUCUGAUCACAACAUGUAUAUCGACCAAUCAAUACAUAACCUUGUUUUAUGUGUGUUUCUAUUUAAAGACACCUUAUUUAAUAUAUAUUGUUGAUAUGUUAGCAUUAAACUCAGGGCCAACAGCACUGUAACUCAUACCUGAACGAACCUUAUCUACCUAACACACGUAUUUUCUGCCUUAGGCACAUCACAGCCUUCUUGCGCCCAGGAACACUAGACAGCAUUUUAGCACUGUGCUUAAGUAUUUUUAAUCAACAAGCACAAAAUGUGGAAAUGUGGCACUAAUUAUAGUGUGAAAAGGAUACUUGACUACAGAUCUGACAGAAGGCAGAGUGUCAUCUUGUUUCACCUUGGCUGGGAACAUGCACAUCAGUUGGAUUUUAAAGAGCCACUCACACCUCAUGGAAAGGUUUACAAAUUUGUUUCCAAAACACCCUCCUGGACCCACACCUGAAUGUUGUGAAGGUUUCUCACUGCUUUGCCUGUGACACCCAGAGUCAGGCUCUCAUAGACACCCAGCCUGCAAUGUCUACAGAGAGGAGGCCAGAGCUUGAAGCUCGACAGCAGACAUUUAGGAACCGGGCAGGCAAAAGGCUUCUCCUCCCCCCCAUUCAUGCACAUGGAGCUGAGGAUGGCUUCGGAGCUGAUGGCGCUCUCGGUGGUCCAGGACUCAUCGCUGUCCGACUCCUCAUAGUCCACCUCCUCCUCGUCGUACUCACUGCCUGUGGGAGCAGAGGAGAAGCCAAUGGCUAUUAGGAGAAGUCACCACCCCGCAGGUUUGCUCCGGCCACCACUAGGCGGGAGUACAUGCAGCUCCUCCUGCCCCUGGAGCAGGCAUUCCCGGCAUAAAAGGCCUGCAAGCACACUUAUUCUCUAGGACAGCCCAGUCAGGGAGGGAUCUGCAUUCCCUCUUGAGAGGCCAGGGUAACGACUUCCCAACAAUUCAUGGCUAGGCAAUGGCUGAGCCAGAACUCGAACUCAGUUCUAUGGCAGGCUGGUCUGUGAUUAUAAAGGUGCCGGGAAGACUCUGAGGCUAAAAACAAAAUAAUUAAUGACAACAAAAGACACACACACAUACACACACUCAUGUAAGCUAGUGCCUGACAUUCCAAUGGAUCGAAGUCUGUCCACUUAAUUUUAUACUUUAUUGGCCUAGUAAUUGGAAAAUCUCCAGGACAGGGCUGCAUUUUACACUGUUCUUAGGUAUUUCAGUGGGAGUGAUUUCAGAUCUUUUUCUUUACAUA
Choloepus didactylus (southern two-toed sloth) is the source of this 1609-nucleotide long non-coding RNA. RefSeq lists it as uncharacterized. The transcript has 3 exons. Lineage: Eukaryota; Metazoa; Chordata; Mammalia; Pilosa; Megalonychidae. The record is from RefSeq and is a predicted model, not a curated record.